This 569-nucleotide ribosomal RNA is filed under the name uncultured bacterium. RNAcentral's name for it is "bacterial SSU rRNA". It matches the Rfam family "Bacterial small subunit ribosomal RNA", at positions 338 to 916 of the family's 1533-position model. The record is from RNAcentral.
CCUACGGGAGGCAGCAGUGGGGAAUUUUUGGCAAUGGGCGAAAGCCUGACCAAGCAACGCCGCGUGGAUGAUGAAGUAUUUCGGUACGUAAAAUCCUUUCGACGGGGACGAAGCCGCAAGGUUGACGGUACCCGUAGAAGAAGCCCCGGCUAACUCCGUGCCAGCAGCCGCGGUAAUACGGGGGGGGCAAGCGUUGUUCGGAAUUACUGGGCGUAAAGGGCGCGUAGGCGGCCCGCUAAGUCGGAUGUGAAAACUCUGGGCUCAACCCAGAGACUGCAUUCGAAACUGACGGGCUAGAGUUCUGGAGGGGAAAGCGGAAUUCCUGGUGUAGCAGUGAAAUGCGUAGAUAUCAGGAGGAACACCGGUGGCGAAGGCGGCUUUCUGGACAGAAACUGACGCUGAGGCGCGAAAGCUAGGGGAGCAAACAGGAUUAGAUACCCUGGUAGUCCUAGCCCUAAACGAUGGAUACUUGCUGUGAGGGGGAUUGAAUCCCUUCGUGGCGAAGCUAACGCAUUAAGUAUCCCGCCUGGGGAGUACGGUCGCAAGGCUGAACUCAAAGGAAUUGACGG